GAAUGCUGACAUAAGUAACGAUAAAGCGGGUGAAAAGCCCGCUCGCCGGAAGACCAAGGGUUCCUGUCCAACGUUAAUCGGGGCAGGGUGAGUCGACCCCUAAGGCGAGGCCGAAAGGCGUAGUCGAUGGGAAACGGGUUAAUAUUCCCGUACUUGGUGUUACUGCGAAGGGGGGACGGAGAAGGCUAUGUUGGCCGGGCGACGGUUGUCCCGGUUUAAGCGUGUAGGUGUGUGUUCCAGGUAAAUCCGGUUCACUUUAACACUGAGGCGUGAUGACGAGGCACUACGGUGCUGAAGCAACAAAUGCCCUGCUUCCAGGAAAAGCCUCUAAGCAUCAGGUAACAUCAAAUCGUACCCCAAACCGACACAGGUGGUCAGGUAGAGAAUACCAAGGCGCUUGAGAGAACUCGGGUGAAGGAACUAGGCAAAAUGGUGCCGUAACUUCGGGAGAAGGCACGCUGACACGUAGGUGAAGUGAUUUACUCAUGGAGCUGAAGUCAGUCGAAGAUACCAGCUGGCUGCAACUGUUUAUUAAAAACACAGCACUGUGCAAACACGAAAGUGGACGUAUACGGUGUGACGCCUGCCCGGUGCCGGAAGGUUAAUUGAUGGGGUCAGCGCAAGCGAAGCUCCUGAUCGAAGCCCCGGUAAACGGCGGCCGUAACUAUAACGGUCCUAAGGUAGCGAAAUUCCUUGUCGGGUAAGUUCCGACCUGCACGAAUGGCGUAAUGAUGGCCAGGCUGUCUCCACCCGAGACUCAGUGAAAUUGAACUCGCUGUGAAGAUGCAGUGUACCCGCGGCAAGACGGAAAGACCCCGUGAACCUUUACUAUAGCUUGACACUGAACAUUGAGCCUUGAUGUGUAGGAUAGGUGGGAGGCUUUGAAGUGUGGACGCCAGUCUGCAUGGAGCCGACCUUGAAAUACCACCCUUUAAUGUUUGAUGUUCUAACGUGGACCCGUGAUCCGGGUUGCGGACAGUGUCUGGUGGGUAGUUUGACUGGGGCGGUCUCCUCCUAAAGAGUAACGGAGGAGCACGAAGGUUGGCUAAUCCUGGUCGGACAUCAGGAGGUUAGUGCAAUGGCAUAAGCCAGCUUGACUGCGAGCGUGACGGCGCGAGCAGGUGCGAAAGCAGGUCAUAGUGAUCCGGUGGUUCUGAAUGGAAGGGCCAUCGCUCAACGGAUAAAAGGUACUCCGGGGAUAACAGGCUGAUACCGCCCAAGAGUUCAUAUCGACGGCGGUGUUUGGCACCUCGAUGUCGGCUCAUCACAUCCUGGGGCUGAAGUAGGUCCCAAGGGUAUGGCUGUUCGCCAUUUAAAGUGGUACGCGAGCUGGGUUUAGAACGUCGUGAGACAGUUCGGUCCCUAUCUGCCGUGGGCGCUGGAGAACUGAGGGGGGCUGCUCCUAGUACGAGAGGACCGGAGUGGACGCAUCACUGGUGUUCGGGUUGUCAUGCCAAUGGCACUGCCCGGUAGCUAAAUGCGGAAGAGAUAAGUGCUGAAAGCAUCUAAGCACGAAACUUGCCCCGAGAUGAGUUCUCCCUGAGACUUUAGGUCUCCUGAAGGAACGUUGAAGACGACGACGUUGAUAGGCCGGGUGUGUAAGCGCAGCGAUGCGUUGAGCUAACCGGUACUAAUGAACCGUGAGGCUUAACCUUACA
RNAcentral lists this ribosomal RNA (1658 nucleotides) under Salmonella enterica. Its description in RNAcentral is "partial 23S ribosomal RNA". It matches the Rfam family "Bacterial large subunit ribosomal RNA", at positions 1292 to 2925 of the family's 2925-position model. Lineage: Bacteria; Pseudomonadati; Pseudomonadota; Gammaproteobacteria; Enterobacterales; Enterobacteriaceae. The record is from RNAcentral. RNAcentral also lists the same sequence under 1 other name.